GUUACUGUACACUGUGAAAAUGCAGUCCAGUCUGUUUUGUUCAGUGCUGGUUAAUCUACUACGUCAUCAUAACACAUCGUUUGGGACCUGCCAUCUAUUCGUACGCAGUCCCUCUGGAUGAACUUGCUCAUAGACACUCAUCUAAGGUCAGCUUUAUGUUUCCCCCCUCUAAUGGGGUUAGGAUUUGGUGAAGGUAAACUGACUCUAGAUCUGUGCCUAAGGACAACUGCUUUGCCUGUCUGUGAGGAUGAGACGAGGCCUGUCGUCCCCUAUCACAGGUAAAAACGUGAUUCACGUAUGGUUGAUUAUGAGCCAAAACAGUAGGGAGAAAGGCAACCUGUCUAGUUAUUCUAGGGUUGGUAUUCAGGGAGAAAAUGUCCUUGUUCACUCUUCUGUUAUAGGUCCUGUGUAUGGAAUCUAUUUUUCCCACUGUUCUUUCAGGCUAACGCAGACCAAGACACUGGGACCUACACAGAUUUACUGAAACCAAAUCUUUUGGAUUUUUAUAACAAAACUCUGAGAAAAAUGGAGGAAAAGUCUGAAUCCAACUAUGAAAGAGAGCUGAGAGUGCUGAUUGUGUGGGGCCACAAAUGUCUGUGAGGCACUCUGUUGGAAACACAAUCCUGGGUAGAGAGGCCUUUCAAGCUGGGGGAAUCACUGCCCAGUGUGAGAAGAGAGGUGGAGGAGUGAGAGGGAAGAAGCUCACUCUGGUCAAAGCUCCUGGCUGGUUGGAGGAAAUAUUG
This is a long non-coding RNA of Oncorhynchus tshawytscha (Chinook salmon), 743 nucleotides long. NCBI's taxonomy places the organism in Eukaryota, Metazoa, Chordata, Actinopteri, Salmoniformes, Salmonidae. The record is from Ensembl.